GUUCACACUAACUCCUCAGAGACAGUACAAAAGUCUGGCAGUUCACGGCCUGUGUUAGAGAUUUCCAGAAGAGUGAUGGGGUGUUCCACAUAAAAUGACUUACCCUGGUCUAUCCUACAUGCCAAUGGCCAUGAGGAACCUACCUGGGGACCUCAAACAAAGCUGCCGUCAAAGCUUGAACUUCAAGGCUGCUUACUUCAGCUGUACUUACAAAACACUUUAUAAAAGCCGAGAUUGGAAAUGAGCUGUGCAAUUUAAAGACUGGAGGUGAGGGGCCAGCAAGAAGC
Molecule: long non-coding RNA, 287 nt
Organism: Onychomys torridus (southern grasshopper mouse)
Lineage: Eukaryota; Metazoa; Chordata; Mammalia; Rodentia; Cricetidae
Exons: 3
Source: RefSeq, a predicted model, not a curated record